UGCCGACCGGGUGCCUGCACUAAGUUCGGCAUCAAUAUGGCGACCUCCUGGGAGCGGGGGGCCACCAAGUUGCCUAAGGAUGGCUGAACUGGCCCAGGUCAGAAACGGAGCAGGUCAGAAUUCCUGCACUGACCAGUAGUGGGACUGUGCCUGGGCG
RNAcentral lists this signal recognition particle RNA (157 nucleotides) under Theropithecus gelada (gelada). RNAcentral describes it as "Metazoan signal recognition particle RNA". It matches the Rfam family "Metazoan signal recognition particle RNA", at positions 96 to 252 of the family's 299-position model. Rfam says of the family: The signal recognition particle (SRP) is a universally conserved ribonucleoprotein. It is involved in the co-translational targeting of proteins to membranes. The eukaryotic SRP consists of a 300-nucleotide 7S RNA and six proteins: SRPs 72, 68, 54, 19, 14, and 9. The record is from Rfam by way of RNAcentral. Lineage: Eukaryota; Metazoa; Chordata; Mammalia; Primates; Cercopithecidae.